RNAcentral lists this ribosomal RNA (255 nucleotides) under uncultured bacterium. RNAcentral's name for it is "partial 16S ribosomal RNA". It matches the Rfam family "Bacterial small subunit ribosomal RNA", at positions 524 to 776 of the family's 1533-position model. The record is from RNAcentral.
AACGUAGGACGCAAGCGUUAUCCGGAGUUACUGGGCGUAAAGGGCGGGCAGGCGGCUUCGCACGUCGGAUGUGAAAGCGCCCAGCUAAACUGGGCGAGGCCAUUCGAUACGGCGGAGCUGGAAGGCAGCAGAGGUAGGCGGAAUUCCGGGUGUAGCGGUGGAAUGCGUAGAGAUCCGGAAGAACACCGGUGGCGAAGGCGGCCUGCUGGGCAGUUUUGCUGACACUGAGGCGCGACAGCGUGGGGAGCAAACAGG